Long non-coding RNA from Myotis myotis, 676 nucleotides. RefSeq lists it as uncharacterized. The transcript has 4 exons. The record is from RefSeq and is a predicted model, not a curated record. Lineage: Eukaryota; Metazoa; Chordata; Mammalia; Chiroptera; Vespertilionidae.
CAAAGGAGGGAGCACCCAGGAUUUCCUAUCAGCUUGUCCAAAUGUGGGACAGAAGAGGAAGAGGAAGGGUUAAGACCUAAAAGCUGCCAGCAAACAAAAUAAUGGAACCAGACUCCUUAUUACAGGGUGUGAACUGAUGAAGAACUCAGUCCAGAGAAUUACUAUGUAGUGCCAGCUCACAGCUGUAGCACAGUGGGAGAAGCACUAGGCUUUUAGGCUUAGGAGAUUCAAGACAAUUCACCAUCCUUCUGGGCUCAGAUUUCUCACAAAACACAAACCAGGUCUUCAGCUCGGGGGAUGGAGCCGCUGAAAAAAGCUGAGUUUUCAAAUAAUCCUUGUGAAGAACAGGACAAAGAAGUGAUCGCAGGCACAGGAGAACUGCUGCUAGGCAAUUCUAAUGGCCUAUGGGAGACACCGAAAGACACAGAAUGUCAGAGACACAGGAUGGGACAACUCAGAAGUAGUAGUCACUACCACAGGAUGGAAAAGCCUAGAAUAAAAGGCUCAUUCUCAGCUCGCCACUAACCUGACUGACAACCAAACCAAGAAAGUGAAUGAUAAAAGUCUGGGAAGUUUCAAGUUUACCAAAAAUGAAGUUUCAGGAUUAUCUGUUGCAUCUGCUGCUCCAAUUCUAGUUACCACUGAGAAAUGAAGCAUUGAUACUAAUACAAUUGAA